GAGCGCGCGUCUCAAGCCCAGGGGGCGGGGCUGCCCGGCGCCCCCGCGCUGGAGGUCACGGCGCGGCGGGGCGCGGCCAUGGCCCGGCGCGCCGCGGGGGAGGGUCUCCGCGUGUCGCCCGAGAGGCUCGGGAAGAUCUCCCCCGACGCCCCGCGGCCGGCCCCAGAGGCGGCCCCGGCCCGGGAGGCGCUCAUCUCCGCCUGGACCGCUUCGUCCUGCAUCCCUUUCUCUUCCUGUCUCCCUGGGGUCCCCUGGGUCCCUGCCUGCCUCUUCGCGCUCCGAAAAGCCGAGUUUCGCAGAUACUCAGCUCGGAGGAGGACGUUUUGCCGGGAAGUAGGUGCUUUCUUGUUAAGCGGCGGUCGAUCGAUGGGAGGGGCCAGAAGUCGCUAGGUGUCCGGACAAGAUUGUCACUGUCGCUGAGAUCGUCAGCUCUAGUGCUUGGAGGCGGGUGACCUCCUGCAAGCCUAGAACUUUGGGAUUACUUCCGAGCUUGAAGGACGAAAAGGAAUUUACAUGGAUGGGAUAAUGUGCUACUGACCUAUGAUCGUAGGGCCUGUGCUUGAAGUCGCUGUCCGCCCACUGUCUCUAGGACUGGCGCAGCCCCGCCCCCAGACCAAGCCUGGAAGGAAAUUCGCCUUUGGCUAAGAAUGCAGUCAAGCCCUUGAAGACAGUGAUUUCCGAGUUCCUCAUGGGUCUUACUGUAAUUAAGGGAGUGGCCGUCUUAAAUGGAGUCACAGGGAGAGGAAGAGUGUGGGAUCUUCUACCAGAGAAAUGACUUGGUCUUGAAAGGAAGUCCAUGCGGUGGGGACAGUCAAGGCAGAGACCUUCUGGCAUGCGCAGCAGUGUGCCUGCCGCCUGAGACUUGCCCACACGCAGAAGCAAAAGCAAGGGCAACUCGUGCACAAGGCAUGUGAAGCCGACUGAAGCUGCGAAGCUUGAACUCUGGUUCUUGUGGCAGGCCUGCCCCUGCACCUGCCACCUGCUCGGGCGUGGGUGGGGACAGCUGCUUCCUGGAGCUGCCGUGCCCUACGGGAUGGAGCUGGGCCAGGAGCUGAGAAGCCACGCGCAGGGGUCAGUCAGGGACGCCGGGACCGAGCUCUCUCUAGCGUGUACCAGAAAUCCGCUUAGCGGAGCCCAGGCUGCCCGUGUCUACACAGUGAGGAACCCAGGCUCCGCGCAGGGGCGCUACUCCCCCUCAGGGCAGCCCGCGCCCUGUUUGUGCUGCCCUGGCUGUGACCAGGUUCUUUCUUUCGCUGAGCCGCUCAUUUUCCUCUCUUACCUGGCCCGUUCGUCCUACGUCCUCUUACUCUAGAAUCUCAGAAAUAAGGCUAAUCCCUUUUGUUGGGAUUUUAAAGUUUAAUUUACUUGGGAAUGGCUGCCUGGGUUACUUCUAAUCUUUUAAGCUGUUGCAAGAAAGCAUGAAGCAGUGGCAAGAGAUCCACUUAGUAGAUGCAGUGGACAGAGUGCCCGCUGUGGAGGCAAGUUUUGUCUUAAGAUUUGCGGGUCCCUGCGGCCUGCCAGUGAGGCAGCUCGGCCUGCGCCUGCAGAACGACCACCGUUACUCUCUCGGGUCUUAAAGGAAGCCGGGCCUCCAGGUGGGCAGGCGUCUGCUGUAAUAACAACAACAACCAGAAUAAUGAAAAGCCAGCUCGCUGCCCUGCUCCCUGCACCUCCCCACUCCGGAGCGUUUACCUGACUGGUGGAAUGGGACCAGGACCUGCCUUUGAGGUCUCGGGUGUGACCUGGUGCUUCCAGCCCCGAGAUGCGCCGCUGGGUCCACAGAAGGGAGUGGCUGUCCCCGCGGCCACACUGUCCCUCCGCGUGCUCCAUCCUGCGCGGCCCCUGCCCGUGUUCUUCAGCAGCCGUGCCUCCCCCGGUUUUCCCUCUUCCUGCAAUGUCAUCCCUCAGCCAUGGGUGGCCGCUCCACCAUUCUCUUCAUGUUUUUACAGCUUUCUAAAACAUGCCUUUAUUAUCAUUGUAAUGGGGUCUCUUGGGGAGAAAGAGAGAAAUAGGCACUGUCAGCCAGCCAACUCGAACCAGAAACAGUACAUAACGUGUAUAGUCAGUUGUACAAACUUAAAGAAAUUUGAAAAACAGAGAACAAUAAAAAUCUGUAAUUGUAUUACACUCACAGAAAUCUGUGCCUCCAUUUAUUUAUACAUUCAUUCCAGUCACCAGAUAUUAACUAAAUAUCUGUUAUGCUCUAAUCACCAUGCCUUCUAGGGAAUUGAAGUGUAGUAAGGGAAUCGUGGCCAGGUAGAAUAACCACUAAUAAUAUUUUGGUAUAUUUUCAUUGAAGCCUAAUGUUAUAGUAUUUUUUUUUUUGAUGUAUUGCAGUUAUACUGUUUAUUCCGUCUGAUGUCCUUUCUUUUUCUUUUUUUAACUUACAGCACAGUGGGUGUGACAGGAGAGGGCAGAGCUGUUUAUUCCGGGCUCCUGCCCGUCAGGAGUAAGGUUCUGUCUAGCCUGAGUCUGGAGUGUACGCUGUUCCAUAGUUCACGUAGAGGCCGUUCCCUUUCCGCGUCACAGAGCCUGCCUCUGGCUCACCUGUCCCACCUGACAGCUGGCCAUCGGUGCAGUGCAGGUGGGGGUACCACUCCCCGCCCAGCAGGCCUCAGGAAGGUGCUGGUGGAGCUCGCUCUCACCAGGACGGAGGCCAGGCAGGCCGGGUGUCAGUGGGGAGAGGAUUCGCUCUGCCCUGGUCUGGAGCCUGCACAGUGCACAACAGAGGGCUCAUGACCAGGGCCACGGGAGAGUCCCCUGUGGGUGUUUUCUCACCUCCUAGCUCUUCCUCCUGCGUUGCCCACGGUCCUCUUCUUCUACCCCUUCUCCUCCCAGAGUCCUGAUUUUCACAGAAGACGGCUUGUUUUUUUCUGGAACGCCACCUCUCCCUACAGAAAAAGAGGAGGCCUGGUGCGCUUGGUCCCUCUGUGUCUGCCGAUUCUGUAGGCUCAGACAGCCGUUCGGGGUCUAGCUGUAGCCCUCGCCUGGUUCCUGCUCUCCUUGUAGGUAUAAUCAUAUUUUCAUAUAACUAAACUAUGCGCCAGUAAUUUUUUUACUGCAGUGGUUUUUAGUGUAUUCACGAAGUUCUACAACCAUCACCACAAUCUAAUUUUAGAACGUUUCAUCACCCCAGAAAGAAACCACAUACCCACCAGCAGUCACUCCCUAUUUCCCCUCUCCGCUCCAGCCCCCGGCAGCCCCUCAGCCGCUUUCUGUCUCUGUAGAGGGGGCAGGUGCCACGGGGAGGAAGGCGAGCCCCAGGCGGGAGCUGAGCUGCUGCUUCUGAUCUCUGCGUGUCUGCCUUCCCCAGAGUUGGAAGUUACAACUCCUUGCCCCUUUGAAGAUUGAUUUUCUUCCAAAAAUUCCCUUCAGCUCUCCAAAAGAUAUUCACAUGGAGUAUCUAUAAACUUACAUAUACAGCUAAGUUUGAUCUUAUUUUGUACCUUUAAGCUUACUUCUUGUGAGGAAGUAACCAUAGUGCCCAGACGUGCACACACGCGCACACACACCCACCGUGGCCUGAGAUGUUUCAGAGCCUUGUUGUCUGAACUGACGAUGAAGGACACCAUACCUCAAACACUGUCUCCUAAUUCCCCGAUUCCUAGGAUUUUCAGAUCAGGCUGCCAAACCUGUGUCUUGCUGCUUUUAGGUAAGAUAUACAAAAUCCUAGGUAGCAGUGACGAGUGGGAGACAGCAGAAUGAACCGUGGGGAAUGGCGUGGAGGAGACACCCCUCUCUGCCGUGUGCACAGCCAGAACUGAACACCGGGGGACGAGGGGGGUGGCAGCUCAGUGUGGGAGGCUCUUACCAGGGACUUUUUCCAACCAGAGCGUCUUGGCCUCCCCAGCAUCCCACCCCUCAGGAGUGGUCCUUUGUGAUGGCCGAGCGCCCCUUAGCCACCAGUGGCUGUGGGGACUGCCCUGCUGACCAGACAAAGCUGGAGGGGUGUGACUCCUCGUUGUCCUGGGGAGGUAUAUACACGGAGGACAGGACUCCCAAGGUAGACAGUUGAGAGGCUUCAGCAUGGCAAAAGUGCCCGACAAGUCAUGGGAGCCACAAACCACAAGCACCAAGUGGUGGGGAAAGAGGACUGCCUCUCACCACAGAUCCAGAGGAGUAGCAAGGUCAGAUGACCCUACCCACGCUCCUCUCCUUCCCAUGUAUGUCUCUACCCGGCCCCGCCCCCCACCCCUCAGGAUAAUCCUGCCUCUCCUGGUGCGGACCUCCUCCUCAGCUCCCCGCUUCCACUCAGCCGCCAUCCUCUUCUCCCGACCCAGGGCCCUCUGGGCUCACCUUGUUGCCUUGCCAGGUGCUGAAGUUACACAGGAAGGUAACAAGACGACUUCACACGAGUUCAAGAAAAAAAUGCUCUCCUAAAGUUACAGCUCCUUCCAGAAGGCGAAAGAGCAAAAAGGGCCAGCAAGUUUGAGCCAUUGCUGUAGACUGAGCCAAAAGCAGCAGGCCAGGCCCAGCGAAGCCACAGAACGACACCACUCCAAGAUAAGAGCCACGCCAACAGUACCAGCCAAGCAAGCGUCACACCUCCACAGCCCGUUGCACCCGGAGUCCUGGCUGCCGAGAAGGCGCCAGCAUGGGGACUGACUCGGACGCUAACGUGGAACAUGGGACACAAACGGUGGUUAUGAAAAUAAAAUCAGCACAAUGCGAGAAGUCCCUCCGAAAAGUGAAAUAAAAUUAGGCACUCUGCACAGAAACGAAUUGGUGUAUUAUUGUUUGAGAUGGUCCCUCAAAAGGAGAGAGUGAAAUGAUAGAGAGAAGCUCUGCAUCUUUGCGGCAAAGAAGUCCCCGGUCCCCCCACAUCCACCUGAGAAGAAAAUGUAGACACAGCUUACCGAGGGUGGAUAAGUAUCCUUGCCUCCGGAUUCCCCAGCCAUGGCAGACCAAGGUAACAGCUUUUUUGCUUGGUAGUGAGCACUCAUUUUAAACGUGAGAGAAAUCAGCAGAGCACAGCAAUGCCCGUGUACACUCUGAUAGGCUUAGAGGCAAUGGGGAAGGGAAAGGAAGAGAGAAAAAGGAGACCACAAAGUUGUCCCCAGGACGCUCUGACUUUCUCUGUCAUGAUGCAGACUGAGCUGCUCUCUCACUUGGGAAUAAUGAAGUUGGAAGCUGAAGGCCCCUGAGCUUCAUGGCUCCCUCAUCCUCUCUUGGCCUCAUUCUGAGUUGUAACAAGGACAGAGCAGCGCCAGGCCCAGCCGCCAGGAGAGGGUAGUCAUGUGGCCACAUCAAGCAGAGGCCUCCCCGGGUGCUCCUCUCUGGUCUGGUUCUACCUGGGUCCCCAGUGUCACCCUCCCCAUCAAUUGUUCUCCCCUUUACAGCCCAUAAUGGAGCCCGCAGUCUCCCACAGAGGUGGAAAUGGCUGGAACUCCAACCUCUAUAGGUUAGAACAGUGAUGCUCAAAAAAUGAGUUUUGUGUCUUGAAGAGAAUUUGAAAAAUUAUGCACCUCCUUACACAAUUUUAAGUUGACAUCCAAAAUUUUUCAUCAUGAGCUUCAGUAUUUACUGAGGAUAUAAUUUCUAAUUUAUUAUGAACAUUGAUAUUUAAGAUAAAACUAUUGCAUCAGUCUUUCUUUUUUAAUUUACAGUCUGAUGUAUCUUUUUGUCCAGAUAAAUUCCACUCCACUUUGCUAUGAGAUGAGAGGGGUGCCACCAGACAGGGGUACCAUUUGACCUGUAUUUUUCUUGCGAAGCUUUGAAUCUGCUCAAGUAUUUAACAAGCACGUGGUUGAGUUUCAGUUCUUUGCUGUGUGAGUGAGAUUUCUGUAUACUUUUAAAGGCUGUUAAUUAUCUGACAGUGGCCUGAACCAUCAUGACAAAUGCCCAUCUGACCCGUGUGGCCUUUAUGCCUGUGGGACGGCUUCUCUGUGCACCGCACCCCAGCAGCGGAGCGAACAAACUGACAUCAUGCUGUCGCUUCACAGUGUUCACUUUGAAGACCGCACGUCCAGUGUUGUAUGGCAUCUUUUGUGAACAGGAAUGUCCUGACCAUGUCUUGCUAGCGAAAAAUACGACUCAGGUGUAUUUAUAGAGAUUUGCUGAAAUUUAAAAUCCUUGUGGCGUAACACUGAAAACAGUCUCUCCUGUGUUACUUUUGGGGUCCUUCCAUGUCUUUUUGCUAAAUUUAAAACAAGUCCCUUUGUCACUGGAAAUAUGGAUACACAGGAAACUGAUGGCAUUAGUUGCUUCUGGUAAGAGGAACUGAGUGGCUGGGACAGGUGCAGGAGAGAAACUUCUGUUGUCUAUCCUCUGCUAUCGAAUUUUAAGCCAUGUGAAUGCACUGCUUAUUCAAAUUUAAAAUGUAAUUUAAAAGACAGCAUUAACUAGUUAAUUAUGUAAUAACUUUAAAAAAGACUCUGCUUGCCGGAAUUGUAAUAAGAUGUAUUUAUUUUGGUUUUCGAUCAUUAAAAUGUCUCUGUAGUUCUUGAA
Equus caballus (horse) is the source of this 6447-nucleotide non-coding RNA. NCBI's taxonomy places the organism in Eukaryota, Metazoa, Chordata, Mammalia, Perissodactyla, Equidae. The record is from RefSeq and is a predicted model, not a curated record.